GCCGUGGCUCCGGCGUCGGCGGGGGCAGCAGCAGCUGAGGCAGCAGCUGAGGCAGCCGCGACGGCCGCGCCCCCCCCUGCUGACCUGGAUUAGGCCCAGCAGCUCCGUGGCCGCCGCCGCCCCGCGGGGGGGCGGGGUGGGGAAGUGCUUCGUCUCCCCGCCCCCCCCCCAGCGCUGCCUCGCAGGAGGCAAACGCCGCGACCCCAGCGGAGCCCGCGGCCCAGCCUUGAGCCCCCACCCCCGGGGGCUGGCAUGAGCGGCCCCUCGGCGGCACCGUGGGGCGGUGGAGUCGCCUCCGCCUGAUCCCUGGCCUGCCGCCGGACCACACCUCGCCAACCGAGGCGGACCGCGGAGCGUGCGAACGACCCCACCGCUACUUUCUCCUCCCCCAGAUCACGCACCCCAGCUCCGGAAGAUGGGGAACUGCCUCAAAUCCCCCACCUCGGAUGACAUCUCCCUGCUUCACGAGUCUCAGUCAGACCGGGCUAGCUUUGGCGAGGGGACGGAGCCGGAUCAGGAGCCGCCGCCGCCAUAUCAGGUGUGUGAUCUGUAUGAUGGACUUUGUUUAUGGGGACCCAAUUCGAUUUCUGCCGUGCAUGCACAUCUAUCACCUGGACUGUAUAGAUGACUGGUUGAUGAGAUCCUUCACGUGCCCCUCCUGCAUGGAGCCAGUUGAUGCAGCACUGCUUUCAUCCUAUGAGACUAAUUGAGCCAGGGUCUCUUAUCUGACUUCAAGUGAACCACCGUUUUGGUGGUUUUGAUCUUUUGUCACUGAGCCCAAAGAGCCAGGGAUUAGGAAUUAAGAUCAUGCACAAAAGUUUCCUUAAAAUUCCUGGAUGGCUGCAGAUGUUGGGGGGAAAAGUAUGUGAUAUUUUAGAAACUUAGUGGGAAAAGUAGGGUGGUAUUUUUAUGUAAAGCCUUGACCCAAUGUUUAAAAAUAUAAUUGUAUU
This 950-nucleotide small RNA is filed under the name Pongo abelii (Sumatran orangutan). RNAcentral's name for it is "processed transcript". The record is from RNAcentral. Lineage: Eukaryota; Metazoa; Chordata; Mammalia; Primates; Hominidae.